This 463-nucleotide ribosomal RNA is filed under the name uncultured bacterium. RNAcentral describes it as "partial 16S ribosomal RNA". It matches the Rfam family "Bacterial small subunit ribosomal RNA", at positions 28 to 507 of the family's 1533-position model. The record is from RNAcentral.
GAUGAACGCUGACAGAAUGCUUAACACAUGCAAGUCUUUGGCGAAGCUGUGCUUGCACAGCCUAGCCAAGGCGGACGGGUGAGUAACGCGUAAGGAACUUGCCCUGCAGUCAGGGAUAACAGACGGAAACGACUGAUAAGACCUGGUAAAGUCAGGCGGACUCAUGUCCAGCCUGAUGAAAAGUGAUGCUGCAGGAGAGCCUUGCGUCCUAUUAGCUUGUUGGUGGGGUAACGGCCCACCAAGGCGAUGAUAGGUAGCCGGCCUGAGAGGGUGGACGGCCACAAGGGGACUGAGAUACGGCCCUUACUCCUACGGGAGGCAGCAGGGGGGAAUAUUGGACAAUGGGGGCAACCCUGAUCCAGCAAUUCUGUGUGCACGAUGAAGGUUUUCGGAUUGUAAAGUGCUUUCAGCAGGGAAGAAAAAAAUGACGGUACCUGCAGAAGAAGCGACGGCUAAAUACGUG